This 793-nucleotide ribosomal RNA is filed under the name uncultured bacterium. Its description in RNAcentral is "bacterial SSU rRNA". It matches the Rfam family "Bacterial small subunit ribosomal RNA", at positions 8 to 796 of the family's 1533-position model. The record is from RNAcentral.
AGAGUUUGACCUGGCUCAGGAUGAACGCUAGCGGCAGGCUUAAUACAUGCAAGUCGAGGGGCAGCAGGGUGUAGCAAUACAUCGCUGGCGACCGGCAAACGGGUGCGGAACACGUACGCAAUCUUCCCAAAACUGAUGAAUAGCCCUCCGAAAGGAGGAUUAAUACAUCGUAACAUAAUGAGGUGGCAUCACUUUAUUAUUAUAGCUCCGGCGGUUUUGGAUGAGCGUGCGCCUGAUUAGGUAGUUGGCGGGGUAACGGCCCACCAAGCCUACGAUCAGUAACUGGUGUGAGAGCACGACCAGUCACACGGGCACUGAGACACGGGCCCGACUCCUACGGGAGGCAGCAGUAAGGAAUAUUGGUCAAUGGACGCAAGUCUGAACCAGCCAUGCCGCGUGGAGGAUGAAUGCCCUCUGGGUUGUAAACUCCUUUUAUCUGGGAAGAAACCCGAGAAUUCUUUUUCGGUUGACGGUACCAGAGGAAUAAGCACCGGCUAACUCCGUGCCAGCAGCCGCGGUAAUACGGAGGGUGCAAGCGUUAUCCGGAUUCACUGGGUUUAAAGGGUGCGUAGGUGGGCAGGUAAGUCAGUGGUGAAAUCUUUGGGCUUAACCCGAAAACUGCCAUUGAUACUAUCUGUCUUGAAUGUUGUGGAGGUGAGCGGAAUAUGUCUGUAGCGGUGAAAUGCUUAGAUAUGACAUAGAACAUCGAUUGCGAAGGCAGCUCGCUACGCAAAUAUUGACACUGAGGCACGAAAGCGUGGGGAUCAAACAGGAUUAGAUACCCUAGUAGUCC